AGAGUUUGAUCAUGGCUCAGGAUGAACGCUGGCGGUCUGCUUAACACAUGCAAGUCGAACGGAACCUUUCGGGGUUUAGUGGCGGACGGGUGAGUAACGCGUGAGAAUCUGCCCUUGGGUUCGGGACAACAGUUGGAAACGACUGCUAAUACCGGAUGUGCCGAAAGGUAAAAGCUUUAGUGCCCGGGGAUGAGCUCGCGUCUGAUUAGCUAGUAGGAGUGGUAACGGCACCCCUAGGCGACGAUCAGUAGCUGGUCUGAGAGGAUGAUCAGCCACACUGGGACUGAGACACGGCCCAGACUCCUACGGGAGGCAGCAGUGGGGAAUUUUCCGCAAUGGGCGCAAGCCUGACGGAGCAAGACCGCGUGAGGGAAGAAGGUCUGUGGAUUGUAAACCUCUUUUGAUGGGGAAGAAGACAGUGACGGUACCCAUCGAAUCAGCCUCGAUCCCCCG
RNAcentral lists this ribosomal RNA (453 nucleotides) under uncultured cyanobacterium. RNAcentral's name for it is "bacterial SSU rRNA". It matches the Rfam family "Bacterial small subunit ribosomal RNA", at positions 8 to 503 of the family's 1533-position model. The record is from RNAcentral. Lineage: Bacteria; Bacillati; Cyanobacteriota.